Molecule: ribosomal RNA, 441 nt
Filed under: uncultured bacterium
Lineage: Bacteria
Description: partial 16S ribosomal RNA
Rfam family: Bacterial small subunit ribosomal RNA
Source: RNAcentral
CCUACGGGAGGCAGCAGUGAGGAAUAUUGCACAAUGGGGGAAACCCUGAUGCAGCGACGCCGCGUGAGUGAUGAAGUAUCUCGGUAUGUAAAGCUCUAUUAGCAGGGAAGAAAAUGACGGUACCUGACUAAGAAGCCCCGGCUAACUACGUUCCAGCAGCCGCGGUAAUACGUAGGGGGCCAGCGUUAUCCGGAUUUACUGGGUGUAAAGGGAGUGUAGGUGGGAUGGUAAGCCAGAGGGGUAAAGACAGGGGUCAAACCGUUAGAUUGCUUUUGAAACUAUCAAGCUAGAGUGCUGGAGGGGUGAGCGGAAUUCGUGGUGUAGCGGUGAAAUGCGUAGAUAUUAGGAAGAACACCGAUGGCGAAGGCGGCUUACUGGACAGAAACUGACACUGAGGCUCGAAAGCGUGGGGAGCAAACAGGAUUAGAUACCCGUGUAGUC